Molecule: ribosomal RNA, 460 nt
Filed under: uncultured bacterium
Lineage: Bacteria
Description: partial 16S ribosomal RNA
Rfam family: Bacterial small subunit ribosomal RNA
Source: RNAcentral
CCUACGGGUGGCAGCAGUGAGGAAUAUUGGUCAAUGGGCGUAAGCCUGAACCAGCGACGUCGCGUUAGGGAUGAAGGUUCUAUGGAUCGUAAACCUCUUUUGUAAGGGAAUAAAGUAUGGUACGUGUCCUGUUUUGUAUGUACCUUAUGAAUAAGGAUCGGCUAACUCCGUGCCAGCAGCCGAGGUAAUACGGAGGAUCCGAGCGUUAUCCGGAUUUAUUGGGUUUAAAGGGUGCGUAGGCGGCCUUUUAAGUCAGCGGUGAAAGUCUGUGGCUCAACCACAGAAUUGCCGUGGAAACUGGGAGGCUUGAGUAUGUGUGAGGCAGGCGGAAUGCGUGGUGUAGCGGUGAAAUGCUUAGAUAUCACGCAGAACCCCGAUGGCGAAGGCAGCCUGCCAAGCCAUGACUGACGCUGAUGCACGAAAGCGUGGGGAUCAAACAGGAUUAGAUACCCCAGUAGUC